RNAcentral lists this ribosomal RNA (253 nucleotides) under uncultured bacterium. RNAcentral describes it as "partial 16S ribosomal RNA". It matches the Rfam family "Bacterial small subunit ribosomal RNA", at positions 524 to 776 of the family's 1533-position model. The record is from RNAcentral.
UACGAAGGGGGCUAGCGUUGCUCGGAAUUACUGGGCGUAAAGCGCACGUAGGCGGCUUUCUAAGUCGGGGGUGAAAUCCUGGAGCUCAACUCCAGAACUGCCUUCGAUACUGGAAAGCUCGAGUCCGGGAGAGGUGAGUGGAACUGCGAGUGUAGAGGUGAAAUUCGUAGAUAUUCGCAAGAACACCAGUGGCGAAGGCGGCUCACUGGCCCGGUACUGACGCUGAGGUGCGAAAGCGUGGGGAGCAAACAAG